Sitophilus oryzae (rice weevil) is the source of this 1494-nucleotide long non-coding RNA. RefSeq lists it as uncharacterized. The record is from RefSeq and is a predicted model, not a curated record. The transcript is spliced from 4 exons. Lineage: Eukaryota; Metazoa; Arthropoda; Insecta; Coleoptera; Curculionidae.
AAUCUGACAACGUUGACACACGACAUUUUCCUUUGUUUGCAGGAGUCGCUCUUACAAUUUUUCUUAUUUUUUGGUAGAAAAAGUGAUUUUUCUGUACACUAUUUGAGUGUAUUCUGUUCCUUAAGGCCUGUUUAAUCUUCUAAAAAUAAGCGUUACCUAUUAAUAAUACACACCACCACAUAAAGACCUAAAAGAAGAGACUUGGAUCACCUCUUGAAUAAUCCUGAUUUUCCCAAUGUUUGGCCAUAGUUCUGUUUUACGAAUUGGUUUUUCUUUAUCCCUAUAAAUAUUUUCUACAACAAAUCGAUGGAUGUAUACAGUUCCACGGCAGUACAUUUAUGUAUCCUUUUCAUUAAUAUUACCAACAAUGCAUCAGGACUUAUAAGUAUAUCUAAAAUUUUAUUUCUUUUGGGUAAAUAAAUAUAUUUUUACUGGUUUUUAAUGUUCAUCAGUAGAUUUCAUAAUUUUGAAAUUUAAUUAAGAAAAAAUUUUAAUGGUUUUCUGAGUUAUAUCCUUGUCUGUAUAAUCAAGGGUUGUAUUUUUUAUGGUUCCUCAUUAUCAUCUCUAUUAUAGCUUCACUCCCACGUUUUCUUGAUUAUGGAAAUAAUUUUAUUUAUCGUUUUUAUAAAAUAUUCGAUCCAUUGCCUGUAUUUCUAUAGGUUUUGUUUGGUACAAUAUUCCAUCUACUUAGAAUUUUACUUCAUUUUGUUUAUGGUUAACAGUCAUUUUUCUAUAAUAGUUCGGCUCUCAUAUUUUCUUCAUUGUGGGAAACAUCAUUCAUCGAUUCUAUAAUAUCUUCCAUUGGUUGUAGGUAUUUCAAUAAGUCUUCUUUUAUUUGUAUUAGUUUUCUUAUGGAGUCAUUUUUCUAAUACUUUUUUUGCUCUUUUAAUUCCUUGUACAGAAUUUCAGUUUUAAUGGAUCCAUUUCCAUGUCAUUUUCCUCAAAUCAUAUGCCAUGAAUCUCUGUAAUUUUACGGAUUUUAUUUGUUUAUUUUGUAUGUCUUUAAAUAUAAUUUAAACACGAUAGCACUUAAAAAUCUCACAAUCAGGAUUAAUUUCCGAUCAAUUCCUGGCGCAUUCGCCUUUUAGUAAAAAACUGACGUCCACAGAUGAUGUCACUUCUGGCUUUUCUAGCAUUUUGCUAAUGCAUUUUCCUGAGUAACAUCGACUCCAGAGCAUCAUGCUAGCCUUCCGAAAGAGGAGCAGACCCGGGUCGCCCCCUAACCCUGAUGUUCGGCCAUCGAUGACCUAUGUAGCAUGCAUAGAUACCCAAGGGAGUCACCACCCUCUGGUUAUCAAAUUGAGCAUUGAAGAGGAACUAAAUAUUUUGAGAUUCUGUACAACAAAUCGAUGACUAUACAGUUCCAGGGCAGUAGAUUUAUCCUUCUUGAUGAAUAUUACCUACAAUAUGCAUCAGGACUUAUAAGUAUAUCUAAAAUUUUUUUGAUUAAUAAAUCAUUUAUAUUUGAUUUAUGAUUGAAUAGUACUACCAUGA